UCAGAUUGAACGCUGGCGGCAUGCUUUACACAUGCAAGUCGAACGGCAGCGGGGAGGAGCUUGCUUCUCUGCCGGCGAGUGGCGAACGGGUGAGUAAUACAUCGGAACGUGUCGAGAAGAGGGGGAUAACCACCCGAAAGGGUGGCUAAUACCGCAUAAAUUCUGAGGAAGAAAGCUGGGGACCUAGGAAUAGGCCUAGCGCUUUUUGAGCGGCCGAUGUCGGAUUAGCUAGUUGGUGAGGUAAAGGCUCACCAAGGCGAAGAUCUGUAGCGGGUCUGAGAGGAUGAUCCGCCACACUGGGACUGAGACACGGCCCAGACUCCUACGGGAGGCAGCAGUGGGGAAUUUUGGACAAUGGGGGCAACCCUGAUCCAGCCAUGCCGCGUGUAUGAAGAAGGCCUUAGGGUUGUAAAGUACUUUUGUUAGGGAAGAAAAGUCAGCUGUGAAUAAUGGCUGAUACUGACGGUACCUAAAGAAUAAGCACCGGCUAACUACGUGCCAGCAGCCGCGGUAAUACGUAGGGUGCGAGCGUUAAUCGGAAUUAUUGGGCGUAAAGCGAGUGUAGACGGUUAUUUAAGCCAGAUGUGAAAUACCCGAGCCUAACUUGGGAGGUGCAUAUGGAACUGGGUAGCUAGAGUGUGUCAGAGGGAGGUAGAACUCCACGUGUAGCAGUGAAAUGCGUAGAGAUGUGGAAGAAUACCGAUGGCGAAGGCAGCCUCCUGGGAUAACACUGACGUUGAGGCUCGAAAGCGUGGGGAGCAAACAG
Molecule: ribosomal RNA, 766 nt
Filed under: uncultured Neisseriales bacterium
Lineage: Bacteria; Pseudomonadati; Pseudomonadota; Betaproteobacteria; Neisseriales
Description: bacterial SSU rRNA
Rfam family: Bacterial small subunit ribosomal RNA
Source: RNAcentral